GAUGAACGCUAGCUACAGGCUUAACACAUGCAAGUCGAGGGGCAGCAUGAACUUAGCUUGCUAAGUUUGAUGGCGACCGGCGCACGGGUGAGUAACACGUAUCCAACCUGCCGAUGACUCGGGGAUAGCCUUUCGAAAGAAAGAUUAAUACCCGAUGGCAUAGUUCUUCCGCAUGGUAGAACUAUUAAAGAAUUUCGGUCAUCGAUGGGGAUGCGUUCCAUUAGAUAGUAGGCGGGGUAACGGCCCACCUAGUCUUCGAUGGAUAGGGGUUCUGAGAGGAAGGUCCCCCACAUUGGAACUGAGACACGGUCCAA
Molecule: ribosomal RNA, 314 nt
Filed under: uncultured bacterium
Lineage: Bacteria
Description: bacterial SSU rRNA
Rfam family: Bacterial small subunit ribosomal RNA
Source: RNAcentral